UACGUAGGGUGCAAGCGUUAAUCGGAAUUACUGGGCGUAAAGCGUGCGCAGGCGGCCUCGCAAGUCAGAUGUGAAAUCCCCGAGCUCAACUUGGGAACUGCAUUUGAAACUACGGGGCUAGAGUGUGUCAGAGGGAGGUAGAAUUCCACGUGUAGCAGUGAAAUGCGUAGAGAUGUGGAGGAAUACCAGUGGCGAAGGCGGCCUCCUGGUAUAACACUGACGCUCAUGUACGAAAGCGUGGGGAGCAAACAGG
Molecule: ribosomal RNA, 253 nt
Filed under: uncultured bacterium
Lineage: Bacteria
Description: partial 16S ribosomal RNA
Rfam family: Bacterial small subunit ribosomal RNA
Source: RNAcentral